CUUCACGGAGCCGAGCAGCAGCGGCCGGCCGGGGUCGCGGUCGGCGCCGUAGGUGGCGAGCAGGGCCUGCGCCUC
Molecule: non-coding RNA, 75 nt
Organism: Pseudonocardia sp. EC080619-01
Lineage: Bacteria; Bacillati; Actinomycetota; Actinomycetes; Pseudonocardiales; Pseudonocardiaceae
Rfam family: ASpks TB sRNA
Source: Rfam